This 505-nucleotide ribosomal RNA is filed under the name uncultured bacterium. RNAcentral describes it as "partial 16S ribosomal RNA". It matches the Rfam family "Bacterial small subunit ribosomal RNA", at positions 28 to 507 of the family's 1533-position model. The record is from RNAcentral.
GACGAACGCUGGCGGCGUGCCUAAUACAUGCAAGUAGAACGCACAGUUUAUACCGUAGCUUGCUACACCAUAGACUGUGAGUUGCGAACGGGUGAGUAACGCGUAGGUAACCUGCCUGGUAGCGGGGGAUAACUAUUGGAAACGAUAGCUAAUACCGCAUAAUAUUAAUUAUUGCAUGAUAAUUAAUUGAAAGGUGCAAUUGCACCACUACCAGAUGGACCUGCGUUGUAUUAGCUAGUAGGUGAGGUAACGGCUCACCUAGGCGACGAUACAUAGCCGACCGGAGAGGGUGAGCGGCCGCACUGGGACUGAGACAGGGCCCAGACGCCUACGGGAGGCAGCAGUAGGGAAUCUUCGGCAAUGGGCGAAAGUCUGACCGAGCAACGCCGCGUGAGUGAAGAGGGUUUUCGCAUCGUAAAGCUCUGUUGUCAGAGAAGAACGGGUGUGAGAGUGGAAAGUUCACACUGUGACGGUAUCUUACCAGAAAGGGACGGCUAACUACGUG